RNAcentral lists this ribosomal RNA (500 nucleotides) under uncultured bacterium. RNAcentral describes it as "bacterial SSU rRNA". It matches the Rfam family "Bacterial small subunit ribosomal RNA", at positions 38 to 507 of the family's 1533-position model. The record is from RNAcentral.
GGCCGGCGUGCUUAACACAUGCAAGUCGAACGAGAAGAGAUGAGAAGCUUGCUUCUUAUUGAUUCGAGUGGCAAACGGGGUGAGUAACGCGUAAGCAACCUGCCCUUCAGAUGGGGACAACAGCUGGAAACGGCUGCUAAUACCGAAUACGUUCUUUUUGUCGCAUGGCAGAGGGAAGAAAGGGAGGCUCUUCGGAGCUUUCGCCGAAGGAGGGGCUUGCGUCUGAUUAGCUAGUUGGAGGGGUAACGGCCCACCAAGGCGACGAUCAGUAGCCGGUCUGAGAGGAUGAACGGCCACAUUGGGACUGAGACACGGCCCAAACUCCUACGGGAGGCAGCAGUAGGGAAUCUUCCACAAUGGACGCAAGUCUGAUGGAGCAACGCCGCGUGAGUGAAGAAGGUUUUCGGAUCGUAAAGCUCUGUUGUUGGUGAAGAAGGAUAGAGGUAGUAACUGGCCUUUAUUUGACGGUAAUCAACCAGAAAGUCACGGCUAACUACGUG